Anolis carolinensis (green anole) is the source of this 2371-nucleotide long non-coding RNA. RefSeq lists it as uncharacterized. The record is from RefSeq and is a predicted model, not a curated record. The transcript has 3 exons. NCBI's taxonomy places the organism in Eukaryota, Metazoa, Chordata, Lepidosauria, Squamata, Anolidae.
AAGUUAUGCAGGGAAGGGUUUUCUCUGGUCUCAUCACUGUUGUAGGCAUGAUUAAUGAGAACUUGAAGAGCGCUUUCUCCAUAGCUGCUCCCAGACUGUGGGACUCCCUUUUAUCAAGGGUGGAGUUGGCCUCUUCCCUGCACUAUUUCUACCAGCAGGUGAAGACGUUUUGUUUAAGCAGGCUUUUGAAUUUCAAUCAUGGGACUAUGGAGUGUAUGAAGGCAGCUUGGUCUGGAGAGAUAAUGGAUUCAUCGUGAAAGCCUGUAUUGCAGAUUGCUGUGUGAGGCUGGUCUUUGUGUUUGCAGGGAUGGCUUUGAGCAAUCAGCCAUUCAAAUGGGACAUAAAGAAGAUUCUUUUCGAUCACAUCAAAGAUUCAUCUUGUCCUGUUCUCAACAUUGGCCAAACCAGCUACCUCUGAGAUGUCAGCAGACAUGACAUAAAGACAAAAGCUACCUGUUGGUGUGCAGCUUCUGAUAUUCAGUGGCAGACUGCCUCUGAAAACCAUUUCAGCUUUAUGGGAAAAGAGCAAUUGAAGGAUCACAAUGCACAAUAAUUGGAGUAAAUUAUAGAACGUAACUGCUACCACAUAGCUGAUCAUUAGGAAAAUCCAUUGUACUAGGCACAGCUUGGUUGAUUCCCUUUUGCAUUUUGGUAUUUUAAAAAUGGUUUUAGUGUGUAUUUAAAUUUAAAAUUGUAAAAUUCACAAAACUAGAGAAAACUAUGUGCAUAUAUACUAUGUAUAUUUAUGAAUGUAUUUGCCAAGCAUAUUAUUCUCUCCAAUCACUGAAAUGGGAAAUAAAUAUCAGAGAGAGAAAAUGAAUGGAUGUAUUCACUAGGAUUUUCUCUGCUAAUUCAACAUUUGUUUAUCUUCUAAUUGGCCCUUGGAACCCAUAUUAUGAAGCAUGAACUGGAAAUUGAUUGAAUACUUAGAUUAACAUUUAACUGUUUUUGAUAAUACAGUAUUCUAAAACCAUCCUUUAGCACCUGAACUAGGAUCACCAAAACUAUAAUAGGGCACUUCCCAUACCAGCAAAAAGUAUAGCAUGUUCUGUUCAGUUUGUCAUGAAGGAAAAUCUAUUUAUGUAUUAUUUAAAAUAUUUAUAUAAUUCCAUAUAACUGAAUAUCUCCAAACUGAUCUGCCAUAAAAUCAUUUUGAAACAUUUAACACUUAAAGCAUAGUAGAUGAAUUUUCAUGCAAAACAGGACCAUUUUAGAAUAGUUAAACAAUUCAAACAAACCCUCACAGGUACAUAUUUGGAUCGACUCAAUCUUCUAAAAAUGUUACUUAAUAAUCAUGGUUUUAUUAGUGCCAAAAGAAGUUACUCCCAAUUUCCUGGCUAAUGGUUAGAGGUGUCUAACAUCUUCUUAUACUCUCAGAUAAAAUAUUGUAUAUGUACAACAUGCCUUCCUUAAUCCGUAGAGUAAAUUGUAUUAUUUUAGCAGGAUUCGAUUCCAUGAUUAUCUCCAUAGUAUAUCACAAAAGAAGCAAUUUUAGUUGAAAUCUGUGAUUUUCUUUAUAAAAAAUAGUAUACUUGAACCCACUCAGAUCAUGUUUGUGGAAAGACAACCAAAUAAAGGAGGCCUAGAAGUUUAUACUGAUUCUACUGUACACUUGUUUUUCAGGAAAUUCUCAAGAAUCACAGACCUCCAGAGUAAUUUACUUUGUCACUGUGACUACAUUUAGCUAAUGUUAGCCAUGAUGUCAGAUACAAUAUACUAAAUUCUUAUUGAAAUGUAUGAUUUACAGAAAGUUCAGGAGUCAAGACUCAUACAGUUGUUUAGGUACAAUUAAACCAAACACAUUAUCUGGAGACAGAAGUUGGAAUAUUUCCAUGUGCUUCUCUUUUUUGUUGCAGUCCUUUGCAUGAAUCAUAUUAAACUGCCAGAGAGAGACUGAAAACAAAUUAGACUUUGAACUGUAGUUAGCAUUGUCACUGUAUUCUUGAUAAGUAAUAAGACUUAUAUCAUAAAUCAAAAACAAAAAUCUAUGCUUAAGUGAGCACCUUCAGUGGCAACACCUGUUUGGGAUGAUUUUGCAGGGUUGAUAAAAGGUUUUUCUGGCACAAUAGUGUUGCUAUUUGCCAUGAAGUCUGCUCCAAUGUCUGAGAUCCAAUGAAAGAAUCGAGGAGCCCCAGACACAAAGAGCUCUGCCCAGGUCACAAUAGUUCAAGGGCAUGGCUUUGAUGACCGUCACCCCGGCUUUCAAAUUGAUUUGGACCCACAGCGGAGAGUUCCGCAGAUCCAUCACCAAAAGGAACGGAGCGGGACCGCAGCAGACUAUUAUUAAAAGAUCUUUUUUUUCUUCACUUUCCCCUUCCCUGAACUAUGUAACAAAUCCCCCAAUAAAAGUAGCCUUCAUUUUUAACAGUAA